GCGGAAGUGGCGGAAUUGGUAGACGCACCAGAUUUAGGUUCUGGCGCCACAAGGUGUGAGAGUUCAAGUCUCUCCUUCCGCACCA
RNAcentral lists this transfer RNA (85 nucleotides) under Vibrio alginolyticus. RNAcentral's name for it is "tRNA-Leu". It matches the Rfam family "tRNA". From Rfam's summary of the family: Transfer RNA (tRNA) molecules are approximately 80 nucleotides in length. Their secondary structure includes four short double-helical elements and three loops (D, anti-codon, and T loops). The record is from RNAcentral. RNAcentral also lists the same sequence under 2 other names. Lineage: Bacteria; Pseudomonadati; Pseudomonadota; Gammaproteobacteria; Vibrionales; Vibrionaceae.